This 322-nucleotide ribosomal RNA is filed under the name uncultured eukaryote. RNAcentral's name for it is "partial 18S ribosomal RNA". It matches the Rfam family "Eukaryotic small subunit ribosomal RNA", at positions 1470 to 1796 of the family's 1831-position model. The record is from RNAcentral.
CCCUUAGAUGUUCUGGGCCGCACGCGCGCUACACUGACGAAGUCAGCGAGCAUGUCCUACGCCGACAGGUGCGGGGAAUCUUGUCAAACUUCGUCGUGAUGGGGAUUGAUUAUUGAAAUUCUUGAUCAUCAACGAGGAAUUCCUAGUAAGCGCAAGUCAGCAGCUUGCGUUGAUUACGUCCCUGCCCUUUGUACACACCGCCCGUCGCUACUACCGAUUGAAUGGUUUAGUGAGAUCUUCGGACUGCGCGGUCUGCAGUUUCUGCGUUCCGUGCGGAAAGUUGCGCAAACCUUAACAUUUAGAGGAAGGAGAAGUCGUAACA